RNAcentral lists this ribosomal RNA (556 nucleotides) under Bacillus licheniformis. RNAcentral's name for it is "bacterial SSU rRNA". It matches the Rfam family "Bacterial small subunit ribosomal RNA", at positions 911 to 1469 of the family's 1533-position model. The record is from RNAcentral. Lineage: Bacteria; Bacillati; Bacillota; Bacilli; Caryophanales; Bacillaceae.
UGUUGGGGGAGGAUACAAGCGAUAGGUCAAGUGUAUGGUUGAAAGCAUCGCGAAGAGCCUUACCAGGUCCCCAAUCAUAUGACAUCCUUUGAGAUAGUGCUUCCCCUUCGGGGGCAGAGUGACAGGUGGUUCAUGGUUGUCGUCAGCUCGUGUCGUGAGAUGUUGGGUUAAGUCCCUCAACGAGCGCAACCCUUGAUUUUAGUUGCCAGCAUUCAGUUGGGCACUCUAAGGUGACUGCCGGUGACAAACCGGAGGAAGGUGGGGAUGACGUCAAAUCAUCAUGCCCCUUAUGACCUGGGCUACACACGUGCUACAAUGGGCAGAACAAAGGGCAGCGAAGCCGCGAGGCUAAGCCAAUCCCACAAAUCUGUUCUCAGUUCGGAUCGCAGUCUGCAACUCGACUGCGUGAAGCUGGAAUCGCUAGUAAUCGCGGAUCAGCAUGCCGCGGUGAAUACGUUCCCGGGCCUUGUACACACCGCCCGUCACACCACGAGAGUUUGUAACACCCGAAGUCGGUGAGGUAACCUUUUUGAGCCAGCCGCCGAAAGGGGGUCCU